This 3421-nucleotide long non-coding RNA is filed under the name Ananas comosus (pineapple). RNAcentral describes it as "long non-coding RNA (ACOM_LNC031658)". Lineage: Eukaryota; Viridiplantae; Streptophyta; Magnoliopsida; Poales; Bromeliaceae. The record is from RNAcentral.
AAAAAAUAUUUAUUAUUUUUUUUUUUUGAGAGAAAGAUAGCAUGCUACCCGCUUCGUUUAUUUCAUUUAGAAAUAAACUUGGCUAAAAAUGUUAAUCAACUAGGAUUCGAACUUAAGUCUCGGGUAUCAACCACCAAAUCCUUUUACCACUUGCGCUAGGGACGGUCGGUUUAAAAAAAAAAAAAAAAUUAAAAAAAAUAUUUAUAGUUAUGGCUAGUAUUUAUAGUUAAAAAAAUAAUAUAGUUAUGGCUAGUAUUUUUUGGUUUAUUUCAUUUUUUUAUUGUUGUGAUGAGAAAUUUUAUCGUUAAUUAUAAUUAGACUAAUAUAAAAUAAAUUUAAAAAUAAAUUUAAAUUAAAUUUUCAUAAUGUCACAUGGCAGUUUAUGCAUCCAUAAAACUAGGCUUUUAUACUUUCGAAAGUACGAAAACCUACGUGCUUAUAAAUUAUUUUCAAUGAUGGGAUAUCCAAUUCGAUGAUUGGUUUUAUUAGGUAUGAUCUACGCUAUUAGAACUAUUUAGAAAUCAAAUUUUAUAAUUUUUUGACUUUAUUUACCUAGUAAACGAAUAGUUUCAAAAUGAAUGAUUGAAAAUAAAAAUCGCACAAAAAACGAUCUUGACGUUAAGUAGAAUUUUCUAGGAUGUCACAGACUCCUUCAGUUUAGGGGGUUUAGGCCGUGACGUCCUCGUCAACACUGGCUUAGUCUGUCAUUCCGACCUUGGCUCAGCUAAAACUUAUCUCACACUUUCGACUAGUAAACCGGCUUUGAUACCAAAUGUAACGACUCAACCUACUAACAAUAAUAAUUUAUUGGGCCCAAACCACCAACACAAAAUGCUCAAACUCAGUUAUUAUUAUUAGGAUGGAGUUCUCUUCUAUACCCAAUGACAAUUGCAUUUCUAUCCGAUGUGGGACUAUUAGGGUGUCACACUCUGAUAUUUUUGUAAAGGGAAAACUUCAAAAACCCCCUCUGUGGUUUCAUAGUUUCUCACUUUGCCCCCCUGUGGUUUAAAAUGUAUCAAAUUGCCCCCAUGUGGUUUUGUUUUUAUCUUUUCGAUAGCUUUUUCGUUAAUAUUUCAUUAAAUUAUAUACAAAAAACUUUAGAUACCCAUCUAGAUUUAUCAAAUAUUCACUUUAGUACCCUUUAAUUUUAACUUUAUCACUGAUUUAAGGAAAAAAAAAUAAUGAAAUUGAUAUGAAAAAGAGAAAAAAGAAACCACGGGGGGGCAAAUUGAUACAUUUUAAACCACAGGGGGGCAAAGUGAGAAACUACGAAACCAUAGAUAGGGUUUUUGAAGUUUUCCCUUUUGUAAAUAAUGUCGAAAAAUUAUGAAAUUUGGUUUCUAAAUAGUUCUAAUAGUGUAUAUCAUACAUAACGGAGUCGAUCGUCGAAUCAGAAGUCCUAUCAUCAAAAAAGGAUAAUUUCCUAUAUAUCCUUCAAAACAUCGAAAAUAUCUUAUUUACCUCUACUUUUUUUUUUUUUCUUUCCAAUAUACCUUUCAUAUGUUACUCUGUUAUUCCAAAAUACCCUUAGGGUGCGUUUGGUUCGAGUUAUCCUGGCAGGAUUACAGGCAAUCCUGCCAAGAUAACUGUGUUUGGUUAAUCUGCUAUGUAAUCUAGUCGUUAAUGUAGCAUUACAAAUCGAGCAGGAUUACAUUAAAAAUAUUAACGGGAGGGGGGUCAUGUAUCUUGCAUUACUGAAACCCGUUAAUACUACAUAUUAUGUAAAAUGACAAUUUUACCCUCCAACAACCCCAAAUCUAAUUAACAGCAUUAUUUUCAUCACUCUCGCCUUCCCCCUUCUCUCUCGCACGCCGCUUUCUCUCGCUCUCUCUCUCUCUCUCUCGCACGUCUCUCUCUCUCUCUCUCUCUUUCUCUCUCUCUAUCUCUCGCUCUCUCUCUCUCUCUCUCGCACGUCUCUCUCUCUCUCUCUCUCUUUCUCUCUCUCUAUCUCUAUCUCUUUCUUUAUCUCUCGCACGAACACCUAUCAUCUUCUAUUGCGUCGUCCUCCCAAGCAAUCAUCACGAUCUCCUUCCCUCCAUUCGUCAUUUUCGAAAAAAAAAAUUCAAAUGACCACAACAAGGGCAAUUUUGGAAAAAAAUUAUACUUUUAUAUUAGGAUUGCUAAAUUUUAUAAACUGAACCAAACGUAUUAAUGGUAUAAACACUGUAAUCUAGUAUUACAUUACUACAUUAAACCAAACGCGCUAAUGCAGCAUCAGUAGUAAUCUCACGCCGAAAUCCAAGAUACCUGGAUAUGUCGAGAUACUUUGUAAUAUUAGAUAACUCGAACCAAACGGGCCUUAGGGUGCGUUUAGUUCGCAUUAUGAAAGAUUACUAGAAAUAAAAGAUAUCCAAGAAUCUUAUUCAUAUUCAUCAUAUUACUAAGAAUGUGGAAUUCCUGUGUUUGGUUCGCACGGUAAUAUUAAUUAGCCAUGUUAUUUAAUAUUACAAAAAAUAUACAAUUAAUUAAUUAAUUAAUUUAUUUAAUUUAAAUAAUGUUACCAAAAGUUUCAACAUCUUUUUAGAAAAAAGGAAGAGAGAGUAUAAGUUAGAGAGAGAGAGCAUAAUUAAAAAAAUAGAAAGAAAAAUAUAGUCGAAAUUAGAGGGAUAGAGAGUUGAAAUUUAGAAAGAGAGAGAGAGAAAGCUUAGUUUAGAGAGAGAAAAAAAAGUUGAAUUUUAGAGAGAGAAAUAAGUUUAGAGAGAGAUAUAAGGUUAGAGUGUAAAGAAAAAUAAUAUCAAUUAGUCGGCGGGUAAGAAGAAAGAAAGAGAUUAGACAUAUUAUGAUUACCCCAAUCCAUUAAUAUGAGGAUACCCACUCUCCCUCGAGGGAAUGAGAUUAGUACUUUGAGGUGAAUCUUAUUUCUAAGUGAAUCCAAUAUUACCAACUAGAUUACUUGGUGCAUUUAGCCAAACACCGUCAUAUUUUUUUAUUCAUACUGGAUUACUAGGAAUCUUUAAAUGAUAGCGCGAACCAAACGCACCCUUACAGUUAUCAUCCGUUAAGUUAACUUGAGUUAAACAUGAGUUAAAUAUCUAUCUGAGUUAAAAACUCUAAAUACCUUUUUUGGAAAUGUGGGUGAUGAUAGAAAGUAUAUUUGAACAGACCAAAAAUUUAAAUACUUUUCGUGCCCCUAACUUAAGGACAAAUAAGAAAAGUCGGUAAUGGUAGAAAGGUAUAUUUGAAAGAAAAAAAAAAAUUCAUAGAGAUAACAGUUAUUACUAUCAGUUUAUUAACAAAAUUUAACUCUAUGGGUAUAUUUGAAAUAUGUUGGAACGUAAAUGAAAUAUUUUUAAUAUUAGCCUUCCAAGAGAGAUAAAUUAGAAAAUCGAGAACUUUUAGGAAUAUAUAAGCAAUUGCCCUCAUGAAAAAUAGUUUACAAGCACGUAGGCUUUCAUACUUUCGAAAGUGUAGGAGACGUGCU